RNAcentral lists this long non-coding RNA (2118 nucleotides) under Homo sapiens (human). RNAcentral's name for it is "HSALNT0369451". Lineage: Eukaryota; Metazoa; Chordata; Mammalia; Primates; Hominidae. The record is from RNAcentral.
UUUCAGUAGCAACUGACUCUGCUAACACCUUGGUCUGGAACUUCUAGUGUGUAAAAGUGUGAGACAACACAUUUCUGUUGUUUAAGACACACAAUCUGUGGUACUUUGAUACAGCAGCCCUGACAAACUAAUACAUGGGGUGUCUCAUUGUAGUUUUAAUCAGUAACACCCAUUAUGAACUGAAAACGUCUGCUACUUUUAAGAUCCAACUUGAAUGCUUCCUGAUUAAAUAUAUACAGGAGUGAUUUCAGAGGAAUUUAAGUUUUGGAUCAUUCUUUUGAGAAAGAAAGAAAAGUACCCUUUUAAAAGAGGUGGCUCUUGAACAACACAGGUUUGAACUGCAUCAUUCCACUUAUACACAGACUUUCUUCUGCCACUGCCACUCCUGAGACAACAUGACCAAUCUCUCCCCUUCCUCCUCCUCAGCGUACUUUCAACAUAAAGACGACGAGGAUAAAGGCAUUUAUGAUGAACUACUUCCACAUAAUGAAUAAUUGAACAAAGGAGAGAAUUGUGAGAGUGAGAAAAAGUGAGACAAAGAAGAAAAACUAUAAAUCAGCAAAAUACAGUGCCAAGAGCUCUGGACCACAAAUCAGAAGACCUGAGCCCUAAUUCCUUUCCAGUCAUUGGAUUUGUUCGUCGCUUGCCAAAAUAGCAGCGAACUCUCUGUCAAACUGCAACUCAUUUUAUCGGAGCAAAAACUGAACAAAGAACUGCUAUCAUUUCUGAGGUCAGAGGCAGUGCAGCUUGUGUUACAACUCAAAAGAGUAAUACUCUGAAAAAAGAAAAAAAAAGAUGGCGCUGAAAAUAAACAUGUUCAGCAGCCAUUGUGAUUCAACUUACCCAGAUGUGCUUUUCAUGAGAUGGAGAAGGACGGAUGGAAAAGAAAAGCACACAAAUGUUAAUGGAUACAGUUCAAUCCAAAGAAAACCAUGGAAUAAAACAAGAGCAUUAUUUAAGAUGUGAGAAAGCUCAGGUAUGAGAAAGACAUGGUGCCAUUUUGUAUUUCAUCAUGACACACAUACUCACUGCGUCGAAAAGCAUAGUCAGGCUGAGGGUAGUUCUAAUAGUUGACCAAUAAGUCUAUGUCUUGAGUAUGAGCCACUCUGAAACAUGCAUGACCACAUUUUCCCAGCCUCGAGUACAUCCCAGGAGGAAAUCAAGAAAUCUUGGUAAAGGACAUUCUUUACCUCAGGCCACUUCCAUGCUAUUUUACCAGUAGAAACAAUAACUUAUUAAUUGGCACUUAGAUUUUUAUAUAGCUUUAUAAGCCUACUGCUAAGGCCCAAGAAAAAAGAACAGCAGACAUUAGAAUGGGCAGCAACUUGAAGUGAAGAAUGUCCUUCCUAGUUUGAGGAUCUGAAAAUCUAGAUUCUAUUUCUCAUACACAGUUUGGUCAAAAUUAUUAGCAGAUUCUGAUCUUCAAUUUCCUCAACACAAUCCCUGGCAAUAGAAAUGUGUAAAGUCCAUUCCAGAUCCAUAAUGUUAUUAUUCCAACCAAUGCUGUAAUAAUAAUUACUAUUUUGGUAAACAUAUAUGGCUAGUAAUCAGAACAUAAGAAAGUGUAAAAAUGUUCUAUUCCUCUUCUUCGGUGGCCAUAUUACUUCCUUCUCUAUUUGACUGGCAAAAUAAACAUCAAGUUUGUGUCUAUUGUGGCUCUUUCAGUGGUAGAAAUAUUUAAUUAUUUGAAUAGGUGUUUAUAAAUGUUGUUUUUGGGGAAACAUCCAUAAAUUAUAUUGGUUCACCAAUAUUACCAGAAAUCAUCACUAAAACGACAUUGAUACACAUAUAGCUUUUGAAGAACCCACUUGCUCCCUGGAUGUAGUAGAGGCAUUGAGAAAAUAUGGAAGUUAAAUAAUUCAACAAAAAUUCAUGAGAGUAUUGUUUUAAAAAUAUAUUACAAGCAUAAUAGCCUAAUUAUUAAAAAAUAAAAUUGUUACUACAACUCAUAAAACAUGUUCAAUAUAACAAAAUAGAAAGCAGAAAUUCCUAUGUCAGAAAUUAGGCAAGUUAGAGCAUCUUCUUUUUUAUCGCACAAUUAUUAUAAAGAAAAGAUUGAUGUGCAAUGGAACACCCUGCACAUGCCUCCUCUCAAGGCAUUCAUUCAGAGAAACCGUG